Molecule: long non-coding RNA, 821 nt
Organism: Astyanax mexicanus (Mexican tetra)
Lineage: Eukaryota; Metazoa; Chordata; Actinopteri; Characiformes; Acestrorhamphidae
Exons: 3
Source: RefSeq, a predicted model, not a curated record
UAAGGUGUUGCUAGGUGGUUGCUAGGUGGUUGCUAGGGUGUUGCUAGGCGGUUGCUAAGGUGUUGCUAUGGUAUCUGGGGUGGUUGCUAAGGUGUUGCUAGGUGGUUGCUAGGUGGUUGCUAGGGUGUUGCUAGGCAGUUGCUAAGGUGUUGCUAUGGUAUCCGGGGUGGUUGCUAAGGUGUUGCUAGGUGGUUGCUAGGUGGUUGCUAGGGUGUUGCUAGGCGGUUGCUAAGGUGUUGCUAUGGUAUCCGGGGUGGUUGCUAAGGUGUUGCUAGGUGGUUGCUAGGGUGUUGCUAGGCAGUUGCUAAGGUGUUGCUAUGGUAUCCGGGGUGGUUGCUAAGGUGUUGCUAGGUGGUUGCUAGGUGGUUGCUAGGGUGUUGCUAGGCGGUUGCUAAGGUGUUGCUAUGGUAUCCGGGGUGGUUGCUAAGGUGUUGCUAGGGUGUUGCUAUGGUAUCCGCGGUGGUUGCUAAGGUGUUGCUAGGUGGUUGCUAGGGUGUUGCUAGGCGGUUGCUAAGGUGUUGCUAUGGUAUCUGGGGUGGUUGCUAAGGUGUUGCUAGAUGGUUGCUAGGUGGUUGCUAUGGUGUUGCUAGGCGGUUGCUAAGGUGUUGCUAUGGUAUCCGGGGUGGUUGCUAUGGUGUUUCUAGGUGGUUGCUAGGUGAUGUAUAUGCAUAAAUUUGAUUAAAUGGUGUUUGCACGUUGCUACGCAACGUGCAAAUACAUCAAUCAGCUAUGCACGCUAGGUUGCUCUGGCCGUUCGGGGGUGUCCAAACUUUUGACCCGUGGCUCCAUUACACACAGUACUGGGGGGCCGGGGUGUCCAA